GAUGAACGCUAGCGGCAGGCUUAAUACAUGCAAGUCGAGGGGCAGCAGGGAUAGCAAUAUUCGCUGGCGACCGGUGCACGGGUGCGUAACACGUAUACAAUCUGCCUUUUACAGGGGGAUAGCCUUUCGAAAGAGAGAUUAAUACCCCAUAAUAGUUGACCGGGCAUCUGGUUGAUUUGAAAGCUCCGGCGGUAAGAGAUGAGUAUGCGCCUGAUUAGCUAGUAGGUGAGGUAACGGCUCACCUAGGCUACGAUCAGUAGGGGAUCUGAGAGGACUAACCCCCACACGGAUACUGAGACACGGAUCCGACUCCUACGGGAGGCAGCAGUAAGGAAUAUUGGACAAUGCCCGCAAGGGUGAUCCAGCCAUGCCGCGUGCAGGAAGAAGGCCCUAUGGGUCGUAAACUGCUUUUACACCGGAGAAAACCUCCCCUCGUGAGGGGAGCUGAUAGUAUGGUGAGAAUAAGCAUCGGCUAACUUCGUGCCAG
RNAcentral lists this ribosomal RNA (487 nucleotides) under uncultured bacterium. RNAcentral's name for it is "bacterial SSU rRNA". It matches the Rfam family "Bacterial small subunit ribosomal RNA", at positions 28 to 511 of the family's 1533-position model. The record is from RNAcentral.